GUCCGUCUGGCGGGUCAACUGGCCUCACGUCCCCUUCAUGAUCUCCUCCUACUAUGCUUCCUUCACCAUGCUCUCAGAUAUCAGCUACCUUUGCUUGCCAUCAGUCAGGAGCCACCAUCAGGAAAAAGACUGGAAAAGAAAACCUCUACCUGGCCCUAUGAAAAGUAGACAUUAACUCCAUUUUAUGGAAGUGAUCCAUAAAGAUGUGCCUGGAGACAGUAAGAAAAAAGAGGCAGCCAUUACAUUAAAUAAACAGAUAUCCUGAUUAUCAAGGAAGUUUAAUUCAGUACGCAAGACAGGGAAGUCAAAUGAGAAUGUAAGAAAACAACCCGAAGAAUGAAUGCGAGUGUUUGUGGAAUAACAGAUAAAUGGUGCUAUUCCAAACUCUACACAAAGACUUUAUGUAUAUUAGAGAAAGAAGAGAGGAAGGGAUUGAGCCACUUUUGCUGUGAGACCAAGACAUCCUGGGGCAGUUGUUAAAACACCGAAUCUCGGAUCCUGUGAUCAUUCACCUGAGUUAAAUCUAUGCCUUGGAAAGGAUUCGUUCUCUCAUAGGUCACUUGUGGCUCC
This is a long non-coding RNA of Zalophus californianus (California sea lion), 570 nucleotides long. RefSeq lists it as uncharacterized. NCBI's taxonomy places the organism in Eukaryota, Metazoa, Chordata, Mammalia, Carnivora, Otariidae. The record is from RefSeq and is a predicted model, not a curated record. The transcript has 3 exons.